UGUUGCUGUUUCUUUCUUUGUUCCUUUUUUUUUUUUUUUUGAAAAAUAACGACGUCUCUGAGGCGCGAAUUCCGACAGUGAGAGGAACGGCCGGAUACAGGAGACGGGAAGAAACAAGCCGAUUAUGUUCGCGUUAAUUAGGUAGUUGGAAGAUGUAAAAUUCUCAAUUCUGCCAACUGAACAUAUACGAGAUUUUAAUGAGGAUGAAUAAUUAGCCGGCAUGGAGGAAACGGACCUUUAUUUGGUGGAGUGUCGACAAGAAGCCAAAAGACGGGUGGCCGGUCUAUGAAGCCUCCAUCAUCAAGCUAGCAGCCCAUGAAAUCGAAUGCAGAUCUUCCUGAUGUGAGAUUUACAUAAAUAUGUCAAAGUCUCAACCUCAUGCUGCCCUCCCCCAUCCUCCUAAACCUGUGGAUACAAAUGCAGAUUUCCUUAAUGUUCAAUGGUGCGUGUUCUUCUAAUGGCCGCCUUCCCACUGGAAGUUUUGAUCCACAGCAAUUUAAAAGGAGGACAGAGCAAAACGGACAUCGGCAAGAGAGUGAAGAACUGCCCUUCAUAAGGACACUAUGACAGCCAUAUAUA
Molecule: long non-coding RNA, 579 nt
Organism: Oreochromis aureus
Lineage: Eukaryota; Metazoa; Chordata; Actinopteri; Cichliformes; Cichlidae
Source: Ensembl